RNAcentral lists this ribosomal RNA (253 nucleotides) under uncultured bacterium. RNAcentral describes it as "partial 16S ribosomal RNA". It matches the Rfam family "Bacterial small subunit ribosomal RNA", at positions 524 to 776 of the family's 1533-position model. The record is from RNAcentral.
UACGGAGGGGGCAAGCGUUAUUCGGAAUUAUUGGGCGUAAAGGGCGCGUAGGCGGCUAGAUGUGUCAAAGGUGAAAUCCCUCGGCUCAACUGAGGAACUUCCUUUGAAACUGUCUGGCUUGAGGCCGGGAGAGGGUAGCGGAAUUCCCAGUGUAGCGGUGAAAUGCGUAGAUAUUGGGAGGAACACCAGUGGCGAAGGCGGCUACCUGGACCGGUUCUGACGCUGAGGCGCGAAAGCGUGGGUAGCAAACAGG